RNAcentral lists this unclassified non-coding RNA (5141 nucleotides) under Hevea brasiliensis (rubber tree). Lineage: Eukaryota; Viridiplantae; Streptophyta; Magnoliopsida; Malpighiales; Euphorbiaceae. The record is from RNAcentral.
GAAAAAGGGCUCAUAUAGACCAAAAAUCUAAAUAUAACAUCCACGGUCCAAUCCAUUCUAAUCCACUAUGAACAAGCACAUCAUCACAACGGAUCUUUGUUGCAGUUUUUGUACUUGAGAUGCCACUUCAAUCUGUGAAUAUAAAUUUUAAAAAGACGGGACGCAUUUUCCUAUAAUUUACAAUAUAUGCUCUUUAAAAAACCCGAAUAUAUACUAACUAACUAUGCCUUUUCUUACAACUGGCGACCUAUAACCUUGCAUACCAUUACAGACUACACUAACACUAUCUUACCAUGUAUAAAACACAUUGACUAAACCUUACAAAUUACAAUCAUAAACAAACUUCCAAGCCGUAAUUUCAGUUUUCAUCCCCGUGCUUGCUGCUAAAAAUGGGACUAACGGCCUUUGCAAUUAAUUGUAAGCCAGCCCGUCUCCAUACUUUGUAGCAAGGAGUCAGUCCCAACACUAGAGUGCAUUGCAAAGGAAGAUGCUGGUCAUUUCCUCCUGGGAUAUAAUUUCAAGGAUGUGAUUCCAGAUAAACAAACAAAUAUAAACCACUUCAGAUCGUGCCUUGAGAACCUUACAGGUAGGCAUUAACUUGAUACAACAAGAAAAAUACAUCAAGAAGCCAAUAAUACGAGAAACAAAGCACCCAUGAACAUACACAUACACACACUAUUACAAAAUACAGAUGCGUAAAACAUUUGUUAUAUAAAAACGAACAUCAAAAUUUUUAGUAUUAUCAAAAAUAUCUUUACAACUGAAUUUUGUAUUUAAGGUUAAUGAUUCAUUAAUCAUGAGAAGUCACAAAAUAUCACACAUAAUGCACAUGAGAUGAAAGUCGCAUGAAUGGAAAAAUAUGUAAAUUUAUUCCAUGCAACAGUUAAAUGCAGUGCAUUUGAUCAUAAAGAGGCAGAUUGCACACACAAACCAUCAUUCUCGUACCAUUUUAACAUUAAAGUGAUUACUAGUGCUACAGCUUCUUAAAGGCAUUGGUGUAUUCUUCACAAAUAUUGAAAUAUAUUUUAGAACUAUAAUUACUUUCAUCCUUAGAUCUCUUUAAUCAGAACAUGUUUUCAGGUGUACUAAUGCUCUGGAUAAAGUAUAAAUGAAAAAUAAUAGUAUCCAAGGUCCUAAUACCCCAAUGGGAAGCCCAAACAGGGCUAGAUAUUUAAAAAUCAGUCCUACAGUUUCCUCAUAUUUCCAUGCUUCUUCUUCUAACCGUUUUCACUCCAAAUCCAACUCAGUUUUAUCAGUCACUAGCCUGGGGUUGUUAAGGUUGUAAUCAGCUGGUCAAAUUUAAAGUUCUCAGUGCCUCAAAACUCUGCCAAGUUUCAGAAUAUAAUAACAAAGAACACUCACUUGUUAAAAUGCUUGCAACUGAUUGGAGUUCAAAAAUGAAUAGAAUCUAUUCACAUGCCUCCUGAGGAAAGACUACUUUGUUCCAACUGAAGAAAGUUAGUCCUGCCCUGAAGGCCGAAUUGAACUUCCUGCUGUAGUUGUUGAUACAAAUGGGUUAGAAGGGGUAGGAGACAAUGUCCCCAUGGGUCUUGCAAUUGGCGGCCUUUGGGAAGUCAUGCUCAUAAGGGGCCUCGGAAUUGAGUUUGCACAGUUCGUUGCAAUUCUGUUGGUGGGUAAUGUUGGUGGCAUUCCUCUAGAUGAAGAUGCCGGUAACCCAAGUCGGGCUGCAAUUAUUUGUGCUCGCUCAUGGUACAGCCUUUGCCUUAAUCUGUCAAGUUGCUCCCUAACCCUCAUUGUCACGAGGUCCAUUUCUUUAAAGAAAGCCAACUUCAUUUCCAGCUUAUGCACCUGCUUUUUUAUCAACAAUGCAGCAAGUUGACGGAUUUGGUCUUCUUCCUGGUUUGCAAGAAGUUUUGCCUUCACUGCUGCUGCUGAAAGAGCAGAAACUGCAGCACACUUAAAUUUAUAGAAGCGGUUGUCCUCUUUAAUCUCUUCACGAUUAGGCUUCCAUUUUUUACUGUCCUUGUGGUCCUCAGCUGCAGUUGCUCCUUUUCCAACAACUGAAUUUGAGGCAACUGGCUGCUGAGACUCUUUUGCUUCUGAAGGCAGUUCAGAUGACAUGCAUAUAUCCUUUGGUGCCUCUGUAGGCUGAGAGUUAUUUGCUACUGAAUUUGAUUUCACUAGUUGCUCAUUCUUCUCAGCAGGCAGAGAAUCUGAGAUCAUGCCAACAUCCUCUGAUGUCUCUGCAGCUAGAGAGGGCUCUUGUACCAACACUGGUGCAGCUGAUUGACAAGGCUCAUUUUCAGAAGGUUUCAAAUUGGACACCAUAUCUUCAUCCUUAGAGACCUCUGUUUGCUGAGAGUUCAGAGCCACUGAAGACCCUUCUGUCUCCUUUAUAGAACUUGGUGGACAUGGAGACUUGGAUUGCAUCUCAAUUAAUUCCUUUAACGCACUUACCUGAGGUUCCUUUUGUAAUGAGUCACUAGACUCCUUCAAUUUACCAAUUUCAACUUCCUCAUGAAAAUUUACAGUAACUGCAUCAUUUGCAGCAUUUAAUUUCUCUGUGGGUUCAUCAUUUGAGGAAUCUGGAGGUUGCUUUUCCUCUGAAGCACAAUCUUCAGUUUUCUCAUCACUGUGGUCAAUUGAUAAGUCUCUUCCAUCCAAGUCUUUCUGGGCUUGGCGUUCAUGGUUGUACUUUUGAGCAUCUUGAUUAGCCGUUUCUAUGGCACUGCUGCAAAUCUCUUAUCACAUGAGAAACAAACCCAUGUUUGUUCAUAAAGAAUUUAGCAUGGAAAAAGGUUUACACACCAAUCAAGACCCGCUGGUCCCUUCUGGUCAUCUGGUGGAUCUUCCAAAAGAAAGCAGUGCCUUGUAGCCAGCUGCAUACCUGGAGAAUCACUAUUUAAAGACUUCAAAGAGCUGCGAGCUGAAGCCACAGCCACAUCACUUCCUACCAGUCUGGCCAAAAACACAGCCUAUAAAGGAAACCAAAUAACAUAUAAGUUGAAAGGGAUUAGCUUAAUUUUGAAGGUGAAAGAGCAAAUGAGAUCUUUUACUGUUUACAAAACGAUAUGCGAUUUGAAGACAGGCAAACAACUUUUUUUCACUAUUCAUAUACACCAUAGGAAUUAAAAGGGGAGAAAAGUAAAAAAAUAACAAACUUUUGCUUUGCAUUACUAAUUUGAAACAUGUCAGAACAUCUUAUUUUGUUUAGAGCACGUCUAUUGCUGACUUUCUUUCACAUUCAGUUGGAAGCAUUUAUCUGUUGAUCAUAAAUAUUUGUAUUAGUACACGGGGGAAUCGCCAUGAUAUGAGGCUCCCUACUUUGCAAGGAUCGGGGGAGGAUCAUCCAUGCAGCCUUCCCCCCGCUUUUUUCAGUUGUUUCCACUACUCAAACCAUUGACCUCCCGAUCACAAUGGAGACAGUGAGUUCAUUUCCUGAUGCACCCAUUCACCCAAUGAAACGACCUAAUUUUCUUCAUAUUAACAUUUGACUUACCAAAGCCAUGACAGGAUUUCCAACUUCAGCAAAUGAAAGUCGAUUUUCAGGAGUACAGGGAUAACCAACAGCUUCAAAUGCUUCUGUAAGAGCUUUGAGUGCCAAAUUUUCACAGGCAUGCUGAGCAGCCUUCACUUCAAUAGUAUCUUCUGAUUUUGAAGAUUUCUCAUCAACUAUUGCUUCACUGGUGUUGUUAGGCUUUGCAGUUUCCUGACAACCUUUUACUUCAACCACUUCUUCUGAUCUUGAAGCUUCCAGCUUCAGAGGAUGAUCCUCCUUAGCACCAGUUUUAUCCUUCAUUGUUUCAGUCCCAUCCUUAGGAACAGAUGUAUCAUCAGUGGUUGCACGUUGAUCUUUAGUUUCUUUGGAAAUCCCAUCUACAUCAUCAUCACAGUCAAAAAAGACAUCUUCAAUAGGCAUUUGAACAAAGUGCAAUAUACAUUGAGCUUUAGUUUUUGUGGCAACAUGCUCUGCAAUCUCAUUCCAGUUUUCUUUAUAAAGUUCCAAUGCUUCAAGAAGAAGUAGGGUCUCCUGAUCUGUCCACUUUCCACCACUUAGACCAGGAGCCUCAGCAGGCUCCAUGAGAAUAAAAUCUGAAGAAGACAUGUUUGAUCCAAAUAUCCCAUUAAUAAAGCAAUCAGCACAUAGAUCAUAAUCUGCCUUCUUUUGACAAUGGUAGCGCUUGCGCGAGCAAUCAGCUGAACAAGAAUUGCAGUGGUACUCAACAGCUGGCUCCUCAGGCCUCACUAACUCUUCUGCAAGUGAAGACUCAGGAAACAACCCAGGUGCCAGAGCUGGAGUCGAGAGAUUAGGCUUCUGAAUAACAGGUGGACAAGGUUGAAUGAUUUCAAAGCAAAAUAACUUCUCAAGCAAUGAAUCCUCCUUUGCUUCUCUAUCAUCAUCAGCAUUUGCAGCAGAUUCUACUUGCGGGAAUGGGUGGAAAUUAAUCAAGCCCCAAUAGUCCAAGAACUCAAGCACCUCUUGCUUUGCAUCUAGGUCUGCAACUUCAAGCUCAGACAGAUCUUUCAAUUCAAUCUGCACAUUUGGAUUUGCAUGAAAUUUUUUCACAAUCCAAUUACGUAUCUCCAUGUAGGUAUCAGGUGUCCUGGUUUGAGAGUUCAUAUUAAAGAAUGAAGGUAGUGCACGCUCCUCAAGGAGGUGAAUUUUCGUCCAUGAAAACCAACCGCAAUGAAUAGGCACCACAUGGGCGUUAGAAUCUUUGGAUCUAAUUCCCUCAAAAUCCGCUUCUAUUGCUGCCUGCAACUCCUCCAACUUAUUCACCUCCUCCUCCAGUGUUGCCACCGUCACAGCCCCCGACGUCGACAUAGCCACCUUCUCCUCGAGCUUACAUCCAGUAGCGGCGUAAGCCGCAGAAGACAAAUUGUUGGGGCUCUGGUGGGCUCUGGUCAACGGGCCUCCAUUGUGGAUCGAAGGGUGAGAGAUCAGGGCUUUCUCGCGUGUGAGGCGUUUCGACGGUGUCGAUGAAGAGUUGGAUGUUGAGAGCACGUUGGCUUUCCUCUUUAGUCCUCCGGCUCGCCGCCGUGACGACGGGGGCUCGGCCGAUGCCGGUGACUCCGCUCCCGCAGCGGCUGUGGUCCCCUUUGGUUUCUCCUCCAUUGAGCGAAUUCUUCAAGGGCUUGGCUCAAGAACUAAAGAAGAAACACCAAGGUUUUUAAGCCGG